Molecule: long non-coding RNA, 390 nt
Filed under: Mustela putorius furo (domestic ferret)
Lineage: Eukaryota; Metazoa; Chordata; Mammalia; Carnivora; Mustelidae
Description: lncRNA (ENSMPUG00000028803.1)
Source: RNAcentral
CUCAGAGCUUUCCCAAGGAGAAGACAAUGGAAAGAAACUGAAAGAUGUACUGUCCUUUAUGCAGAAUUCUCCUGCUUUAAGGCUAGUGGGAGCCUUGGUAACAACCUGGAAAAUGGUCUGGUGCUUUUCUGAUGCUGGUUUUGAUGUCUACGUUUGCUGUCAACUCUUCCAAGCGCCACGUGACAUGGCCACUUAUAUUUAGUGGUUUCUGGCAAGAAGCUCAGGAAUAAUUAAAUGAAAGCACAUCAACCCCAAAAUGCUAUUUUUGUACUCCCCCACUAUAAGAUUUUGGCUAUCUAUCAGCACUAUUUGUUUUUUGUCUUUUUCUUCUUCUCCUUCUUUUUAAAGACAUAUUCACCAUAUUUCUAAAAUAACAUAUUAGAGGAAAGC